GACGAACGCUGGCGGCGUGCUUAACACAUGCAAGUCGAACGGAAAGGCCCUGCUUUUGUGGGGUGCUCGAGUGGCGAACGGGUGAGUAACACGUGAGUAACCUGCCCUUGACUUUGGGAUAACUUCAGGAAACUGGGGCUAAUACCGGAUAGGAGCUACUGCUGCAUGGUGGGGGUUGGAAAGUUUCGGCGGUUGGGGAUGGACUCGCGGCUUAUCAGCUUGUUGGUGGGGUAGUGGCUUACCAAGGCUUUGACGGGUAGCCGGCCUGAGAGGGUGACCGGCCACAUUGGGACUGAGAUACGGCCCAGACUCCUACGGGAGGCAGCAGUGGGGAAUAUUGCACAAUGGGCGGAAGCCUGAUGCAGCAACGCCGCGUGCGGGAUGACGUCCUUCGGGUUGUAAACCGCUUUCGCCUGUGACGAAGCGUGAGUGACGGUAAUGGGUAAAGAAGCACCGGCUAACUACGUG
RNAcentral lists this ribosomal RNA (468 nucleotides) under uncultured bacterium. RNAcentral's name for it is "partial 16S ribosomal RNA". It matches the Rfam family "Bacterial small subunit ribosomal RNA", at positions 28 to 507 of the family's 1533-position model. The record is from RNAcentral.